UACGAAGGGAGCUAGCGUUGUUCGGAAUUACUGGGCGUAAAGGGCGCGUAGGCGGUUCGAUUAGUCAGAUGUGAAAGCCCUGGGCUCAACCCGGGAACUGCGUUUGAUACUGUCGAGCUUGAAUUUGGUAGAGGUAAGUGGAAUUCCCAGUGUAGAGGUGAAAUUCGUAGAGAUUGGGAAGAACAUCCGUGGCGAAGGCGGCUUACUGGACCAACAUUGACGCUGAGGCGCGAAAGCGUGGGGAGCAAACAGG
RNAcentral lists this ribosomal RNA (253 nucleotides) under uncultured bacterium. RNAcentral describes it as "partial 16S ribosomal RNA". It matches the Rfam family "Bacterial small subunit ribosomal RNA", at positions 524 to 776 of the family's 1533-position model. The record is from RNAcentral.